UGGGAAAAGUGUCACUAGGCAACCGCGUCGGCGUCUGCUUUUAACCUGUGGGAGAACCCGGCGAGCUAAGCCAAACGGAGGGCGGGAGAGAGGAAGCGGCAGCUGGCGCCUCUCGGCAACUCUAACCCUCUGAUAGAGAUCGCCAAGAUUGGUAUCCAUAGAGCUUGCUGUGGUUUGAAUGUAUCCCCCAAAGUUCAUGUGUUGGAAACUAUUCUUAAUGCAAAAGUGUUAAGAGGUUCCCAUAGAAGAAAUGGUUUCCAGAAUGCAGAAGUGGUCCAUGAUGCCAGAUGUUGCAGAAAGAGCAAAUAAGGGGAUAGAACAGAAAGACAUAAGCACCGGCA
RNAcentral lists this long non-coding RNA (341 nucleotides) under Homo sapiens (human). Its description in RNAcentral is "non-protein coding lnc-TRAF5-6:6". Lineage: Eukaryota; Metazoa; Chordata; Mammalia; Primates; Hominidae. The record is from RNAcentral.